This 498-nucleotide ribosomal RNA is filed under the name uncultured bacterium. Its description in RNAcentral is "bacterial SSU rRNA". It matches the Rfam family "Bacterial small subunit ribosomal RNA", at positions 66 to 543 of the family's 1533-position model. The record is from RNAcentral.
ACGCGAAAUCUCCCUUCGGGGAGAAAGUAGAGUGGCGCACGGGUGAGUAACACGUAGGUAAUCUACCUUUGGAUGGGGAAUAACAACCGGAAACGGUUGCUAAUACCGCACAAUGCAGCGGCACCUAAUGGUGACAGUUGUUAAAGCGGGGGAUCGCAAGACCUCGCGUCUGAAGAGGAGCCUGCGGCGGAUUAGCUAGUUGGUAAGGUAACGGCUUACCAAGGCUAUGAUCCGUAGCCGGCCUGAGAGGGCGGUCGGCCACACUGACACUGACAUACGGGUCAGACUCCUACGGGAGGCAGCAGUCGGGAAUUUUGGGCAAUGGGCGAAAGCCUGACCCAGCAACGCCGCGUGAAGGAUGAAAUCCUUCGGGAUGUAAACUUCGCAAGAACAGGAAGAAUAAGCCGGUGUUAACAUCACCGGUGAUGACGGUACUGUUUGUAAGCUCCGGCUAACUCCGUGCCAGCAGCCGCGGUAAUACGGGGGGAGCAAGCGUUG